Molecule: non-coding RNA, 253 nt
Filed under: uncultured Planctomycetales bacterium
Lineage: Bacteria; Pseudomonadati; Planctomycetota; Planctomycetia; Planctomycetales
Also listed under: 1 other name
Description: contains 16S-23S intergenic spacer region
Rfam family: Bacterial small subunit ribosomal RNA
Source: RNAcentral
UACGAACUGUGCGAACGUUAUUCGGAAUCACUGGGCUUACAGGGUGCGUAGGCGGCCUUCCAAGUCAGGUGUGAAAUCCCCCGGCUCAACCGGGGAAUGGCGCUUGAAACUGGUUGGCUUGAGUCAGCUAGAGGUACACGGAACUUCCGGUGGAGCGGUGAAAUGUGUUGAUAUCGGAAGGAACACCAGAGGCGAAAGCGGUGUACUGGAGCUGGUCUGACGCUGAGGCACGAAAGCCAGGGGAGCGAACGGG